GAACACAAACACUACAGCAACAUCACUACAAACUAAACCAACAGAGCAAAGUCCCUUACAGGAUCAGUGACGUGUUGUGGACUGUAAGCCUGUUGAACAGAAGCAGAGACGUGUGGACAGACACUGACUGUACUGAUGAUGAUCAUCUGCUGCUGCACAGGCUGUAAAGUAUAACCCCUGCUGGACACGGCUCCGGAAGCUCCAGGGGGAGACCGAACUGGUAUCCCCCCUUCUUCAGGCGCGCCUCACACUCACUCACCAUUCACACAUAUCGCAGAGUUCUGGCUGGGACCGAUACCAGCAACCCCUGAAGCCGUGGGGCAGUGCUCUUACCACAGAGCCACAGAUCUCCAUGUCUGAACACCUGCUGGAACUGAUGUUGGACUGCUGACCUGUGAAUUCACAAUAAAGAAUUGAAUAAAAAUAAA
Non-coding RNA from Danio rerio (zebrafish), 428 nucleotides. NCBI's taxonomy places the organism in Eukaryota, Metazoa, Chordata, Actinopteri, Cypriniformes, Danionidae. The record is from RefSeq and is a predicted model, not a curated record.